Long non-coding RNA from Brassica oleracea var. oleracea, 820 nucleotides. RefSeq lists it as uncharacterized. The record is from RefSeq and is a predicted model, not a curated record. NCBI's taxonomy places the organism in Eukaryota, Viridiplantae, Streptophyta, Magnoliopsida, Brassicales, Brassicaceae. The transcript is spliced from 3 exons.
AAUAUGCUCAACGAUAUGUUCCUAUAUUCUAGGAUCUCGAUACUUGACCAUAUCGCUUGUAUAGAGGAACCGUAGAACAACCUUGUGUAUAUAUUGAUUGUAUCGUGUUUAUGAUUGACCAAGGAAAGACAUACACUUUCACAUAUCCCUGAUUAAUUAAAUCUAAACUCAUUCUAUCUAUAGAGAGAAAAUAGAAAAACUUGCAGAUAAUCCCUAGUUUUCUCUUUCUUUUUGCCUCUCUUUGUUUCUCUACUCACGAAUCGAUAUAUAUUUUCCUUGGGUUUGAGUUUGCUGUGGAUCCACUUCUCAAAUGUUAGAUCUGGUGAAAAAAUGAGAUGUGAUGUAGGAGAGAGUAAAGAAGGCUCGGGUAUGGCUAAUGAAGCGGUUUUCUUUCCUCGGAAUGGGACUGUACUCCUUCGCCAGCCUCAUCCCGUCCUCCACCGUCACCUUGUACUUCGGCAACUCGUCCUCCGUGAAAAUCCCUAAUGCGACGUAAUCCAAUCCCACGAUCCCGAUCCUGAUCGGCUCGUCGGUGACUAUAGCCACCAGAUCUUAUUGUUCUGCACAAUAUUUCAAAAAUGGUAUCGAAGAGAUGGCUGGAACAACCUUACGAUGUGUGGCACUGGCCUUCAGGACCUAUGAGCUUGAAAAGGUCCCAACAGGCUAAGAACUCUCAGACUGGGUUCUCCCAGAGAACGGCCUUAUUUUACGAUCUAUAGUAGGCAUAAAGAAUGCUGGUGUCAAGGUGCUUCUUUUGUUCGAUUUUACCAAAAAGGCCCAUUGCACAAAUUCUCUUUCAUAGCCUGCUAAUAACGCUGCA